Molecule: ribosomal RNA, 515 nt
Filed under: uncultured bacterium
Lineage: Bacteria
Description: bacterial SSU rRNA
Rfam family: Bacterial small subunit ribosomal RNA
Source: RNAcentral
GAUGAACGCUAGCGGCAGGCCUAACACAUGCAAGUCGAGGGGCAUCAUGGCGUAGCAAUACGCUGAUGGCGACCGGCGCACGGGUGCGUAACGCGUAUGGAACCUACCCACCGCAGGGGGAUAACCCGCCGAAAGGCGGACUAAUACCCCAUGGUUCCCCGACCCUGCCUGGGGUUGGGGGUAAAGCCUACGGGCGGCGGUGGAUGGCCCUGCGUGCCAUUAGCUGGCUGGUGGGGUAACGGCCCACCAGGGCGACGAUGGCUAGGGGGUCUGAGAGGAAGACCCCCCACACUGGGACUGAGACACGGCCCAGACUCCUACGGGAGGCAGCAGUGAGGAAUAUUGGACAAUGGAUGGAAAUCUGAUCCAGCCAUGCCGCGUGCAGGAAGACGGCCCUAUGGGUUGUAAACUGCUUUUCCAGGGAGAGAAACUUACGCACGUGUUGCGUGACUGACGGUACCCUGGGAAUAAGCAUCGGCUAACUCCGUGCCAGCAGCCGCGGUAAACUGUCUACG